Long non-coding RNA from Aedes albopictus (Asian tiger mosquito), 187 nucleotides. RefSeq lists it as uncharacterized. The transcript is spliced from 2 exons. The record is from RefSeq and is a predicted model, not a curated record. NCBI's taxonomy places the organism in Eukaryota, Metazoa, Arthropoda, Insecta, Diptera, Culicidae.
CCCAAGCAGCACACUUUGUUACAACUAAAUCACGCUGUGCAACCGAAAAAGCGCAGGAGGUGGAGCCUUUGUGCAACAUGUGGUUCGUUGCAUAAGAGAUUAGAUGGUAACCAAUGUGUAAUGUAGUUUGUUUACACUGCGAUAGAAAAAUAAACUCAAAGUUACAUUGUUGGUUUCGACAUAACAA